GUGCUCGCUUCAGAAGCACAUGGGCUUGAAUUGGAACAAUACACAGAAGAUAAGCACGGCCCCUGCUUGAGGCUAGCAUGCAGAUUCAAGAAGUGUUCUGUAUUUUU
This 107-nucleotide small nuclear RNA is filed under the name Neotoma lepida (desert woodrat). The record is from RNAcentral. Lineage: Eukaryota; Metazoa; Chordata; Mammalia; Rodentia; Cricetidae.